This 245-nucleotide ribosomal RNA is filed under the name uncultured eukaryote. RNAcentral's name for it is "partial 18S ribosomal RNA". It matches the Rfam family "Eukaryotic small subunit ribosomal RNA", at positions 490 to 734 of the family's 1831-position model. The record is from RNAcentral.
GCUCUUUGAGUCUUGCAGUUGGAAUGAGUACAAUUUAAACCCCUUAACGAGUAACAAUUGGAGGGCAAGUCUGGUGCCAGCAGCCGCGGUAAUUCCAGCUCCAAUAGCGUAUAUUAAAGUUGUUGCAGUUAAAAAGCUCGUAGUUGGACUUUAGGCGAGCCGGGUCGGUCCGCCAUUGGCGGCACUGGCUCUGGCGAGCCUCACCUUCGGGAAACCAGUGUUCUGCGCUGGGGAACCGAGCCUUA